UUAAAACAAUUAUUAUUUACAAACUAUAUAUCUAGUAACUAUUUGUAUUUGUUAUGCAAUCCCCUAUAUAUUAAUGGGAAGUACUUUUAAAAAAUAACCUUAUCUCUAUGUAUGAUUAAUAAAAAUAUCAUGUUAACGUGUCAUUCUCAGAUAGCUCCUCAAUCCAUUUAAUUUUUAUUUCAACCACUUAAAACAAAACAGAUUACUUCAACAUAGUUUUUGUCAACAACAUUGAAAUAUCUUUGAAAUGAGAUAAAAUAGGUGAUUACAUACCACAUGAGAGGCUAGUUCACUCCCUUUAUUCACGAAAUUAAAAACAACAACGAAAGUUAUUCAAGAAACCCUUUCGUUGAUACAACAAAAGGGUUUCAGUCAAACUUAGGCAUUGGCGUUUCUUGGCCUCGUCUGACUAACAAACCUCCUGCAGUACAUGGGACGACCAUGGACAGAAAAGCAAACCUCAAUCCAUUUAAUUAAACACCCAACAUUUAUUAGAAUAUUUAUAAAUUUUGUAAUUUGUUGUACUUAUGAUUAUUUUUUCAAUUAAUUUAUGUUUUUAUUUUACUCAAUUAAUUAAAACAACAAUACAAAUAAAAUAUGCAAUUAAAAGAUACAAACCUAUACAAAAUGGAUCACCUUAUAUUUUGUGUAUCGAUUAAUAUAUCAAGACAUAUAUUAUAAAUCAU
This 686-nucleotide small RNA is filed under the name Arabidopsis thaliana (thale cress). RNAcentral's name for it is "ATSL027820". Lineage: Eukaryota; Viridiplantae; Streptophyta; Magnoliopsida; Brassicales; Brassicaceae. The record is from RNAcentral.